Molecule: ribosomal RNA, 253 nt
Filed under: uncultured bacterium
Lineage: Bacteria
Description: partial 16S ribosomal RNA
Rfam family: Bacterial small subunit ribosomal RNA
Source: RNAcentral
UACAGAGGGGGCAAGCGUUGUUCGGAAUUACUGGGCGUAAAGGGCGCGUAGGCGGCCUGUUAAGUCGAACGUGAAAUCCCCGGGCUCAACCCGGGAACUGCGUCCGAUACUGGCAGGCUUGAAUCCGGGAGAGGGAUGCGGAAUUCCAGGUGUAGCGGUGAAAUGCGUAGAUAUCUGAAGGAACACCGGUGGCGAAGGCGGCAUCCUGGACCGGUAUUGACGCUGAGGCGCGAAAGCCAGGGGAGCAAACGGG